GACGAACGCUGGCGGCGUGCUUAACACAUGCAAGUCGAACGGAAAGGCCCUGCUUUUGUGGGGUGCUCGAGUUGCGAACGGGUGAGUAACACGUGAGUAACCUGCCCUUGACUUUGGGAUAACUUCAGGAAACUGGGGCUAAUACCGGAUAGGAGCUCCUGCUGCAUGGUGGGGGUUGGAAAGUUUCGGCGGUUGGGGAUGGACUCGCGGCUUAUCAGCUUGUUGGUGGGGUAGUGGCUUACCAAGGCUUUGACGGGUAGCCGGCCUGAGAGGGUGACCGGCCACAUUGGGACUGAGAUACGGCGCAGACGCCUACGGGAGGCAGCAGGGGGGAAUAUUGCACAAUGGGCGGAAGCCUGAUGCAGCAACGCCGCGUGCGGGAUGACGGCCUUCGGGUUGUAAACCGCUUUCGCCUGUGACGAAGCGUGAGUGACGGUAAUGGGUAAAGAAGCACCGGCUAACUACGUG
Molecule: ribosomal RNA, 468 nt
Filed under: uncultured bacterium
Lineage: Bacteria
Description: partial 16S ribosomal RNA
Rfam family: Bacterial small subunit ribosomal RNA
Source: RNAcentral